Molecule: RNA transcript, 1490 nt
Organism: Jatropha curcas
Lineage: Eukaryota; Viridiplantae; Streptophyta; Magnoliopsida; Malpighiales; Euphorbiaceae
Gene name: Basic-leucine zipper (bZIP) transcription factor family protein
Source: RefSeq, a predicted model, not a curated record
GCUCCCUUACGAUAGUUUCCUUGAUCCCAACAGACUAACAGCCCAAAACCCAAAAUCCCCAAACCCUAUACUGAAAAGUGAAAAUCAAAAUCAAUUCUUCAAUAUGUUUUAGAGGUGGAAUGGGAAUUCAAAUACACACUGUAUAGAGUGUAAUUUAGAAAACUUAAAAACGAAAAAAAAGUGAGAAUUCCGUGAACUGUAAAUCCUAGAGAGAGAUAGGAAAUAUCGGAGCAGAAAAGGAGAAAACUCCUAAAAUGGCGUCGUCGAAGGUGAUGGCGUCGUCGAAACCGAAAAAUUCGGAUCUGACAUCAUCAUCAGCAGCUACUCGAUCUCGACGCGCUUCUGCUUCUUCUUCUUCUGCUGGUCUUGCUUCUGCUUCUACGAAACCACAAUCUAAUCGAAUAAAAAGCUUCUAUCGUAAUCUUACGUCGUCGUCAUCGUUGGCGUCUACAAUGACUGUCGACGGAAUUUUACGUGAUGUCUAUUCUACUCCAUCCGCUGAGUCUACUCUCCUUGAUGCCCAAAUUACACUUAUAGAUACACCUACGCCCGUUCUCCCAACAUCACCGCCUCCUACGCUGCAGACGGCGACAAUAAUUGAAACGACAAAUCAUGCUAGUAAUAGCAGUAAUCAAGAAAUGAAUAGUGUUGUUCUUCCUCAGAGUAAUAAAACCGUGGAUGAUGUAUGGAGGGAAAUUGUGGCAGGGAGGAAGGAGAUGAAGGAGGAGCCUGAUGAGAUGAUGACGUUGGAGGACUUUCUGGCUAAAGCUGGGGCGGCGGAUGUCGAACAAGAUGAUGAGGUCAAGAUGCCAAGUGGAGGAGUUUAUGCGUUUGAUCCUGUUCCACCUAGCGCGUUCCAGAUGUUGGAUAAAGUUGAGGGGUCAAUUGUGGGGUUUGGGAAUGGAGUGGAGGUGGUUGCUGGUAGCGAAGGGACUGUCUUAGGCAGAGGGAAAAGAGGGAGGGCAGCGGUAAUGGAACCAUUAGAUAAGGCCGCACAGCAAAGACAAAGGAGGAUGAUCAAGAAUAGAGAGUCAGCUGCCAGGUCUAGAGAGAGGAAACAGGCUUAUCAAGUGGAAUUGGAGUCUAUGGCAGUAAGGCUAGAGGCGGAGAAUGAGCGGUUGCUCAAAGAGAAGGAAGAGAGGACUAGAGAAAGGUUCAAGCAGAUUUGAGCAUUUGUGCAAGCAAGAUCAUAUGAUAUUGAUGGGAAGGAGAUAAGGAAAAAUAGGCUUAUGGAGAAAGUGGUGCCUGUUGUGGAAAAGAGAAGACCACCUCGUAAACUCCGUAGAGUUCACUCCUUGCAGUGGUAGAUUAUAUGUGCUCAAGGGGUAGUAUGGAAAGGAAAAGCAGCAUUGAUGUUAAAAAGUUAAUUUUCUUUUGGAUUAGGUAUUUGAACCCGAUUGUUGUCUGGAGCAAUCACGGUUUCUGAUAUAAAUUAUGUGAAAAAAAAUGGGGACAAAGACAAAAAAAAAAAAAAAAAAAAAAGAUAUAAA